GUCUCUUUACUCGAGCUUCCCAAGAAGUUAAAUAGAACUGUUCAUCAAACCCUCGGGAUGGAGGAAGGAGGUCUCGAGCUUCCCAAGAAGUUUAAGAUUGAAUUGUUCAUCAAACCAGUGGAAUGGAGGAAGAGAUCUCUAGCUUCCCAAGAAGUUUAAGAUAGAACUGUUCAUCAAACCCUUGGAAUGGAGGAAGAGGUCUCAAGCUUUCCAAAAAGUUUUAAAACCGUCGGAAUGCAAAAAGAGCUGCAGACAGACAAUCUGCAGACAUAAUGGUGUUCAGAAGAAGAAAUAAAU
Long non-coding RNA from Bombina bombina (fire-bellied toad), 297 nucleotides. RefSeq lists it as uncharacterized. NCBI's taxonomy places the organism in Eukaryota, Metazoa, Chordata, Amphibia, Anura, Bombinatoridae. The transcript is spliced from 5 exons. The record is from RefSeq and is a predicted model, not a curated record.